Molecule: ribosomal RNA, 174 nt
Filed under: Acinetobacter sp. S55
Lineage: Bacteria; Pseudomonadati; Pseudomonadota; Gammaproteobacteria; Moraxellales; Moraxellaceae
Also listed under: 1 other name
Description: partial 16S ribosomal RNA
Rfam family: Bacterial small subunit ribosomal RNA (bases 49-174)
Source: RNAcentral
GAUGAGCCAGAAUUGGCACCUUGUCUUUAAUAAGGUGCGAAAUGAUUUUAACUGAAGAGUUUGAUCAUGGCUCAGAUUGAACGCUGGCGGCAGGCUUAACACAUGCAAGUCGAGCGGGGGGAUGUACUUCGGUAUUGACCUUAGCGGCGGACGGGUGAGUAAUACUUAGGAAUC